CUGGGGUGGAAAGGUAGACCUACUCUGUCUGGGGUGGAAAGGUAGGCCUACUCUGUCUGGGGUGGAAAGGUAGGUCUACUCUGUCUGGGGUGGAAAGGUAGACCUACUCUGUCUGGGGUGGAAAGGUAGACCUACUCUGUCUGGGGUGGAAAGGUAGGUCUACUCUGUCUGGGGUGGAAAGGUAGGUCUACUCUGUCUGGGGUGGAAAGGUAGGUCUACUCUGUCUGGGGUGGAAAGGUAGGCCUACUCUGUCUGGGGUGGAAAGGUAGGCCUUCUCUGUCUGGGGUGGAAAGGUAGGCCUAUUCUGUCUGGGGUGGAAAGGUAGGUCUACUCUGUCUGGGGUGGAAAGGUAGGUCUACUCUGUCUGGGGUGGAAAGGUAGGUCUACUCUGUCUGGGGUGGAAAGGUAGGC
RNAcentral lists this long non-coding RNA (411 nucleotides) under Salmo salar (Atlantic salmon). Its description in RNAcentral is "lncRNA (ENSSSAG00000112350.1)". Lineage: Eukaryota; Metazoa; Chordata; Actinopteri; Salmoniformes; Salmonidae. The record is from RNAcentral.